GAUGAACGCUGGCGGCGUGCCUAAUACAUGCAAGUCGAGCGAUGAGGCUCCUUCGGGAGUACAUCAGCGGCGAACGGGUGAGUAACACGUGGGUGACUUGCCCCGAAGAUGGGGAUAACCUCUGGAAACGGGGGCUAAUACCCAAUGUGCUCGGUGAUUCGGUUCAUCGAGUAAAGCUCCGGCGCUUCGGGAGAGGCCUGCGGCCCAUCAGCUAGUUGGUAGGGUAACGGCCUACCAAGGCAGAGACGGGUAGGGGGCGUGAGAGCGCGGACCCCCACACUGGCACUGAGAUACGGGCCAGACUCCUACGGGAGGCAGCAGUAAGGGAUAUUGCGCAAUGGACGAAAGUCAGACGCAGCGACGCCGCGUGGGCGAUGAAGGCCUUCGGGUUGUAAAGCCCUUUUAUGGGGGAAGAGAAAAAGGACGGUACCCCAGGAAUAAGUCCCGGCUAACUACGUGCCAGCAGCCGCGGUAAAACGUAGGGGACAAGCGUUAUCCGGAUUCACUGGGCGUAAAGAGCGUUGAGGCGGUUCCGUAAGUUGGGCGUGAAAGCUCCGGGCUUAACUCGGAGAUGUCGUUCAAUACUGCGGGGCUUGAGGACAGCAGAGGAAGGUGGAAUUCCCGGUGUAGUGGUGAAAUGCGUAGAUAUCGGGAGGAACACCCGUGGCGAAGGCGGCCUUCUGGGCUGUUCCUGACGCUGAAGGCGAAAGCUAGGGGAGCGAACGGGAUUAGAUACCCCGGUAGUCCUAGCUGUAAACGAUGGAUGCUGGGUGUGGGGGGUGUAAAUUCCCUCUGUGCCGAAGCAAACGCGUUAAGCAUCCCGCCUGGGGACUACGGCCGCAAGGCUAAAACUCAAACGAAUUGACGGGGGCCCGCACAAGCAGCGGAGCGUGUGGUUUAAUUCGAUGCUACACGAAGAACCUUACCUGGGUUUGACAUGCACGUGGUAGGGAACCGAAAGGGGACCGACCUUCGGGAGCGUGCACAGGUGCUGCAUGGCUGUCGUCAGCUCGUGCCGUGAGGUGUCGGGUUUAAGUCCCGUAACGAGCGCAACCCUUGCCCUUAGUUACAAGUGUCUAAGGGGACUGCCCGGGACAACUGGGAGGAAGGUGGGGAUGACGUC
Molecule: ribosomal RNA, 1123 nt
Filed under: uncultured organism
Description: bacterial SSU rRNA
Rfam family: Bacterial small subunit ribosomal RNA
Source: RNAcentral